Long non-coding RNA from Cyprinus carpio carpio, 1532 nucleotides. The record is from Ensembl. NCBI's taxonomy places the organism in Eukaryota, Metazoa, Chordata, Actinopteri, Cypriniformes, Cyprinidae.
UUUCUCUUCAUCUGAAUGGACACAACACCCAUCCAAGGACUAUAGGACACCAUCAGGAGCCAUAACUAAUAAUCAAAACAAAGAAUAUAGACAGAUUUAAGGAGGACACCAGUGCUACGUUUUGAGGACCCCUUUUCAGAACAUGACGGAUAGCGCUAUUUGCAAACUCUUUGCACCUGCUAAGCUGCAGGGUGUUUGGCCAACCCACCUGCAGAAAGUAAGUAUAAUUUUUCAUGACAAAGACUCAUGAUUACCUAAUACAUAUCACACACAUACAAAUUCUACCCAGGCAGAACGUUACACCCUUCCAUGCAUCAAAGUGAGAGGAAAAGCAAAGCGGAUUCUAACUUGUUGCCACCAGAGGGGAGGCAUUUCCAUCUCCAUGGCAACUUGCCACGGCUGUAAGACUAUUUGAAGGUGGACUGCUGCGAGUAAGGGACAUUACAGGACUGGCGCCGGUCCGUCUGUGGUGCGAGACCCAUGAAUCUAUCAUGAGGAUUAUAGGAAAAUUGUCUGUACUGUGGCAAGGCUGGCACACAAAAUGAAUGAAAUGAGUUAGACUAAACGGUGAUUCAUCCAUGUUUCAUAAUCAAAAACCUCUUCUGGAGAAUGCUUGAAUUAAAGACGCCUACAGAAGAAUAUGUUAAUGUUUGUGACUCUAUGAGCAUUGGGUGAUAAGGUGACUGAUCAUGAAUGAGUGUCUGAACUCAAAGUAUUUGCCUGGAGAACAAUAUACUGCUCUUUCAAUGCUGUAUGAAAUUUUCAAACACUUCAUAAGAAGUCUACAAAUGUUUAUAGAAUGAUUUUUUUCUGUAUAAGUAAUGCUUUAGAAACAGGCUUUUCCUACCAUAAUUAGAGCAAUUUUUUAUUUAGCUCAUUGAAUAUAGUUUUUAUACAGGAACAGUGUCACAAGAAUAUUGUUUGGUUUUAUAUAGAAAUAAAUGUUUUAUUAUUGUUGUUAUUAAAUGUUAACUGACCCCAUACUGUAUAUAAGGCAUGUUGACACAAAACAUCCACAUGUGUGCACUGAUUUUUUUUUUUUCUCAUUAAGGGAGGACCAGGGAUCUUUUAGUUCAUAUUUCUCAGUAUAGUUUUUUUUUCUUUUCAGUUUGUGAAUAGAUGCAUGUUAUCACACAACAUGGGGUAAGUUGUGACAGUGGAGUCUGCCAUUAAACAGUCUAAAAUUUCAGCUAAACAAAGAGAAAACAUAAUUCAGUUCAUCAAAACAACUCAUUAAACAGCAGACGUGAACAAGGUCAUGUACAAAAUAAAAAUGUUUUUGUUAAUGUCACAUUAUGAAACUCAUGACAAUUUGCCCCAAUAAAAGCUGUGCUGAUAAGAAACUGAUUAAAAUCCCUUUUCCAUGAGAACACAGUUCAAACUUUCAAGGUAAGACUUUACAGUAACGUUCCAUUUGUUAAAAUUAACUACAUUAGUUAACUAUAAUGAAAAGCAUAAUAUCUUAUUAUGUUAAUUCCAAACUUUACUCAUGUAUUAUUAAAAUUUAAACUUGUAUCUUAACAAAACUAAAA